This 79-nucleotide transfer RNA is filed under the name Cronartium comandrae C4. RNAcentral describes it as "tRNA-Pro (GGG) (tRNA-Pro-GGG-1-1)". The record is from RNAcentral. Lineage: Eukaryota; Fungi; Basidiomycota; Pucciniomycetes; Pucciniales; Coleosporiaceae.
GCACACUUAGCUCAGUGGUUAGAGCACCCUUCUAGUUUUUGGGGAAAACAGGUCAAGGGUUUAAUUCCCGUAAUGCACA